UAUUAUUUUAAAGUAUUAAUCAGUAUCAUAUAAAUGCUUACAAGUGGACCUCCAAAGUAAAAUAGAAAGGCCACAAAUUUCUCAGGAAUGUGUGAUUUAACAGGUGAAUCUGACCCCAUGAAUGCAUUAGAUUGCACUUAAAAAAUUGCAAGUAAGUGAAAUGAACUUGAGUAAGUAUGAACAAUACAAAAUAAAAUGAGAGUCAUUUAUUACAAGGAUGUUGGGCAUCAUUAGGAAUGCACGGGCAACAACUGAACUGCAUAGUUGAGAGAUCUGGGAGGCCGUGAAUCUGUUUUGAGAGUUGCUGCUUUUGCCUCUCUCCUUUUUGUAGACAACGUCAUACCUUGAAUGUGAACUUGAGGCCUGGGACCAUGUGGGAGAACCUGUAGACUUUCGCUGACAACCAUGCUGUGACAGCAUGAAGAUAAAAGCCAAGAAGCUAAGGUUGGCGAGAGAUUGACAUCCCUGACAGCAUUUUUGAACCACUGUGUCUGGACUGCCGACGCUGGACUAUCUGAAACCUAUGCAUAUCAUUCCUCAAGGUUGUGAGG
This 551-nucleotide long non-coding RNA is filed under the name Oryctolagus cuniculus (rabbit). RNAcentral describes it as "lncRNA (ENSOCUG00000037672.1)". The record is from RNAcentral. Lineage: Eukaryota; Metazoa; Chordata; Mammalia; Lagomorpha; Leporidae.